GUAACACCUUGAAAGACCAAUGACAACUUUCCAGACCCGAACUAUGCAUCAGCCUCCCCUGCCCCUGCGCCUUCAUUUCUAACAUGACAGGAAGAUUCCAGGUACAAGCAAACUAACCCAGGUACAAACAACAGCUCAACCACAGCAGCCCAGAGCUCAGCCUGAACCCCUUUACCCAACUGUCCAGUAUCCUGAUUUGGGAGAAUGAUUGCAGCCUUCAUUAAACCACAUGAAUCUGCAAAGAAGAGGAUGUCAUUAGAGAGAAAUCAAUGGAGACUUCCGAAAGGCUGCUCCAAACUGGUUUGCAGCUACCCCUUAAUGAGGGACCCCUGCCUUCCCGUUUGUUCUGCAGCAUUUGGGGGCUUUGUUUGU
Long non-coding RNA from Pezoporus flaviventris, 372 nucleotides. RefSeq lists it as uncharacterized. The transcript has 3 exons. NCBI's taxonomy places the organism in Eukaryota, Metazoa, Chordata, Aves, Psittaciformes, Psittacidae. The record is from RefSeq and is a predicted model, not a curated record.